UACGUAGGGUGCAAGCGUUAAUCGGAAUUACUGGGCGUAAAGCGUGCGCAGGCGGCUAUGCAAGACAGAUGUGAAAUCCCCGGGCUCAACCUGGGAACUGCAUUUGUGACUGCAUAGCUAGAGUACGGUAGAGGGGGACGGAAUUCCGCGUGUAGCAGUGAAAUGCGUAGAUAUGCGGAGGAACACCGAUGGCGAAGGCAAUCCCCUGGACCUGUACUGACGC
This 223-nucleotide ribosomal RNA is filed under the name uncultured bacterium. Its description in RNAcentral is "partial 16S ribosomal RNA". It matches the Rfam family "Bacterial small subunit ribosomal RNA", at positions 524 to 746 of the family's 1533-position model. The record is from RNAcentral.